UUCGGGGAGCUUGCACAGGUGCUGCAUGGCUGUCGUCAGCUCGUGUCGUGAGAUGUUCGGUUAAGUCCGCUAACGAGCGCAACCCUCGCUGUGUGUUAUAUGUGUCACACGGGACUGCCGGUCUUAAGCCGGAGGAAGGUGGGGAUGAUGUCAAGUCAGUAUGGCCUUUAUAUCCUGGGCUACACACACGCUACAAUGGCCAACACAAUAGGUUGCUAAGCCGCGAGGUGGCGCCAAUCCAUAAAGUUGGUCUCAGUUCAGAUUGUAGGCUGCAACCCGCCUGCAUGAAGAUGGAGUUGCUAGUAACCGCAGGUCAGCUAUACUGCGGUGAAUACGUUCCCGGGGCUU
This 348-nucleotide ribosomal RNA is filed under the name uncultured Leptolinea sp. RNAcentral describes it as "bacterial SSU rRNA". It matches the Rfam family "Bacterial small subunit ribosomal RNA", at positions 1020 to 1382 of the family's 1533-position model. The record is from RNAcentral. Lineage: Bacteria; Bacillati; Chloroflexota; Anaerolineae; Anaerolineales; Anaerolineaceae.